Molecule: ribosomal RNA, 435 nt
Filed under: uncultured bacterium
Lineage: Bacteria
Description: bacterial SSU rRNA
Rfam family: Bacterial small subunit ribosomal RNA
Source: RNAcentral
CAGGCCUAACACAUGCAAGUCGAACGAUGCUUUCGGGCAUAGUGGCGCACGGGUGCGUAACGCGUGGGAAUCUGCCCCUUGGUUCGGAAUAACAGCUAGAAAUGGCUGCUAAUACCGGAUGACGACGUAAGUCCAAAGAUUUAUCGCCGAGGGAUGAGCCCGCGUAGGAUUAGCUGGUUGGUGUGGUAAAGGCGCACCAAGGCGACGAUCCUUAGCUGGUCUGAGAGGAUGAUCAGCCACACUGGGACUGAGACACGGCCCAGACUCCUACGGGAGGCAGCAGUGGGGAAUAUUGGACAAUGGGCGCAAGCCUGAUCCAGCAAUGCCGCGUGAGUGAUGAAGGCCUUAGGGUUGUAAAGCUCUUUUACCCGGGAUGAUAAUGACAGUACCGGGAGAAUAAGCCCCGGCUAACUCCGUGCCAGCAGCCGCGGUAAU